Molecule: small nucleolar RNA, 144 nt
Organism: Catharus ustulatus (Swainson's thrush)
Lineage: Eukaryota; Metazoa; Chordata; Aves; Passeriformes; Turdidae
Source: Ensembl
CUGCAUGUUAAAAAAACCCAAUAAUUCUGCUCCCCGUUCCCGUGAGGAGCAUGAAUACCUCUAACAUGCUACAGAAAACAAGGAGUUUUCAGGGCUGCCAGUCUUGCAGUAAAGACUGAGUGGUAGUAUAGGUCUCCUACAAGU